CCUACGGGCGGCAGCAGUGGGGAAUAUUGGACAAUGGGCGAAAGCCUGAUCCAGCCAUGCCGCGUGUGUGAAGAAGGCCUUCGGGUUGUAAAGCACUUUCAGUGGGGAAGAAAGCCUUGGGGCUAAUACCCUCGAGGAAGGACAUCACCCACAGAAGAAGCGCCGGCUAACUCCGUGCCAGCAGCCGCGGUAAUACGGAGGGUGCGAGCGUUAAUCGGAAUUACUGGGCGUAAAGCGCGCGUAGGCGGUCUGAUAAGCCGGUUGUGAAAGCCCCGGGCUCAACCUGGGAACGGCAUCCGGAACUGUCAGGCUAGAGUGCAGGAGAGGAAGGUAGAAUUCCCGGUGUAGCGGUGAAAUGCGUAGAGAUCGGGAGGAAUACCAGUGGCGAAGGCGGCCUUCUGGACUGACACUGACGCUGAGGUGCGAAAGCGUGGGUAGCAAACAGGAUUAGAUACCCUUGUAGUC
This 465-nucleotide ribosomal RNA is filed under the name Vreelandella stevensii. RNAcentral describes it as "partial 16S ribosomal RNA". It matches the Rfam family "Bacterial small subunit ribosomal RNA", at positions 338 to 795 of the family's 1533-position model. Lineage: Bacteria; Pseudomonadati; Pseudomonadota; Gammaproteobacteria; Oceanospirillales; Halomonadaceae. The record is from RNAcentral.